GAUGAACGCUAGCUACAGGCUUAACACAUGCAAGUCGAGGGGAAACGACAUCGAAAGCUUGCUUUUGAUGGGCGUCGACCGGCGCACGGGUGAGUAACGCGUAUCCAACCUGCCCACCACUUGGGGAUAACCUUGCGAAAGUAAGACUAAUACCCAAUGAUAUCUCUAGAAGACAUCUGAAAGAGAUUAAAGAUUUAUCGGUGAUGGAUGGGGAUGCGUCUGAUUAGCUUGUUGGCGGGGUAACGGCCCACCAAGGCAACGAUCAGUAGGGGUUCUGAGAGGAAGGUCCCCCACAUUGGAACUGAGACACGGUCCAAACUCCUACGGGAGGCAGCAGUGAGGAAGAGUGGUCAAUGGACGAGAGUCUGAACCAGCCAAGUAGCGUGCAGGAAGACGGCCCUAUGGGUUGUAAACUGCUUUUAUAAGGGAAUAAAGUGAGUCUCGUGAGACUUUUUGCAUGUACCUUAUGAAUAAGGACCGGCUAAUUCCGUG
This 492-nucleotide ribosomal RNA is filed under the name uncultured bacterium. RNAcentral's name for it is "partial 16S ribosomal RNA". It matches the Rfam family "Bacterial small subunit ribosomal RNA", at positions 28 to 507 of the family's 1533-position model. The record is from RNAcentral.